ACUUAAAUAGCUCAUGUUUAGAGUAUAAUAUUGAAGAUAUUAUGGAAGUAAAUUUACUUUUAAGUA
This 66-nucleotide transfer RNA is filed under the name Serica sp. NS-2020. RNAcentral describes it as "tRNA-Phe". Lineage: Eukaryota; Metazoa; Arthropoda; Insecta; Coleoptera; Scarabaeidae. The record is from RNAcentral.